AUCUAAGUACCCCGAGGAAAAGAAAUCAACCGAGAUUCCCCCAGUAGCGGCGAGCGAACGGGGAGGAGCCCAGAGCCUGAAUCAGCAUGUGUGUUAGUGGAAGCGUCUGGAAAGGCGCGCGAUACAGGGUGACAGCCCCGUACACAAAAGCGCAUAUGCUGUGAGCUCGAUGAGUAGGGCGGGACACGUGGUAUCCUGUCUGAAUAUGGGGGGACCAUCCUCCAAGGCUAAAUACUCCUGACUGACCGAUAGUGAACCAGUACCGUGAGGGAAAGGCGAAAAGAACCCCGGCGAGGGGAGUGAAACAGAACCUGAAACCGUGUACGUACAAGCAGUGGGAGCACAGGUUUACCUG
Molecule: ribosomal RNA, 355 nt
Filed under: Salmonella enterica subsp. salamae
Lineage: Bacteria; Pseudomonadati; Pseudomonadota; Gammaproteobacteria; Enterobacterales; Enterobacteriaceae
Description: partial 23S ribosomal RNA
Rfam family: Bacterial large subunit ribosomal RNA
Source: RNAcentral